Long non-coding RNA from Aquila chrysaetos chrysaetos, 1186 nucleotides. RefSeq lists it as uncharacterized. Lineage: Eukaryota; Metazoa; Chordata; Aves; Accipitriformes; Accipitridae. The transcript is spliced from 3 exons. The record is from RefSeq and is a predicted model, not a curated record.
GGGUCGCUGGAAGUAAGGCAACAAGAAACCAGCUCUUUAAACUCUGCAUUUUCUGCUGGACACAAGAACUACCCAGAGCUCAUUUGCAACUGCUCGUUCUAUGUGAGAAAACGUCAUUUAUAGAGAAGAGAACACACAAUAAAUCAGAGAAAGCUGUAAGGAUCCUGCACCUGCUGGGAUCUCUGCACUGGUACGGCCUCUCCGGCCAGCGGGGGGUCUACGGGGAUGAGCCAGGCCGAGAGGUUUGGGGUGUCAGCGCUGGAGGGAGCGCAUCGAGGACCAGACACCAGCAACCUCCCCCCCCCACAGGGGGACCCCACGGAAAGGAGCAUCUGAGCCACGGCACAGCUUUUCUGGGGUGCUGUGGGCAUCCAGCUGAAAUGACAGCAAGGAAAUAGCAGCAAGAAAACAAUAGCCAAGGAAAUAACAGCCAAGGAAACAGCAUCCAAGGAAACAGCAGCUAAGGAAAUGGCAGCCAAGGAAAGCCUCAGCAGUUCCUACAUCAGAACAAGAGCUGAAAAAUAAGCACAGGCAUCGUCACCAUCCCACUUACUUUAGCUUGAACUUGUUGAAAAUCUCCUCCUCAUCUGAGGUCUCUUCAUCGUACAGCUCAGCCAUAGAUUUUUUAUGCUGGGAAUCGAGAGGCCGGUACAGGUCUCUAAGCCACUGCGGUUUGGUUUUGCCAAGAUCCGAUACAUGCGAGCCCUGGAAAAUGCCAGGGAAGGGAAGGUUUCGGAGAAGAUUCUGUGAAGAGCAGUCCUGGACACUGUCAUGCGUGAGACUUGUCAAGCUGCAUUGUAACAGUCCUGUACCCUAACUGCUCACUUUCCUGUGCCAUCUAAAAUAUACAUGCAUUUCUGCACAAAGAUGGCCAAAAAAGUAGGAGUUUUAAAACCUUAGCGUGCUGUACAAUUCCAAGAUGCAAUUACUUCCUGGGAUUUAAGUCAAGAUAAUUGCUGCAUAAAAGGAGGAUGCCAGAGGCUGUAACCGUUGACAGCUGUAUCUCCAAUCCCUAGAUGUAACAUACAGGUUCUGCGCAAAAACUAAAUAUCCACUGCUUUUACCUGAACAAGCCCCUUCAGUUCCUCUUCUGUUAGGAAGUCUGUGGGCUCCUCUUGGGAGGAAUUGUACUCCACGACCACUUUCCCAUUCUCUGAAACAGAAUAAACAGCCAGAGACACGGUUA